Canis lupus familiaris (dog) is the source of this 4782-nucleotide RNA transcript. It is a transcript of the gene named DDHD domain containing 2, with no coding region annotated. Lineage: Eukaryota; Metazoa; Chordata; Mammalia; Carnivora; Canidae. The transcript has 19 exons. The record is from RefSeq and is a predicted model, not a curated record.
UCUCGGGCCGCGCUGAGGGCCCCACCCAUCGCUUCCACGCCGCGGUCCCAGCCGCAUCACCUUUGCUCUCGGUCCCCGGCCCUCUGUUCGCCCGCUGGGAGCGCAGUGGAGCCCAGUGCUGGGCACGAGCCUGGCGGGGCCGCAGGCUCCGCCCUGCUGCGCCCCGCCCCGCCUGGGCUCCCGGGAAAGGCUGCCGCGGGGACGUGUCGUGCCCCCCUCAGCGAGGGCAGGAGCGUGUGAAAGGCCGCGGGGCUGUCAGAGAGCGAAAUGUCAUCAGCGGAAUCACAGCAGGAACAAUUGUCCCAGUCAGAUCCAUCCCCGUCACCAAACUCAUGUAGUUCCUUUGAGCUACUAGACAUGGAUGCUGGCAGUUUGUAUGAACCAGUUUCUCCUCAUUGGUUUUAUUGUAAAAUAAUAGAUUCUAAAGAGACUUGGAUUCCUUUCAACUCCGAGGAUUCACAGCAGCUGGAAGAGGCAUAUGGUUCUGGAAAAAAUUGUGAUGGGAGAGUUGUCCCCACUGAUGGGGGCAGAUAUGAUGUGCAUUUGGGGGAGAGGAUGCGGUAUGCUGUAUACUGGGAUGAGCUAGCAUCAGAAGUGAGACGAUGUACCUGGUUUUACAAGGGAGACAAAGAUAAUAAGUAUGUUCCCUACUCAGAGAGCUUCAGCCAAGUAUUAGAGGAAACGUACAUGCUUGCUGUAACUCUGGAUGAGUGGAAAAAGAAACUGGAAUCUCCCAACAGAGAAAUUAUUAUAUUACACAAUCCAAAGCUUAUGGUGCAUUACCAGCCAGUUGCAGGGUCUGAUGAAUGGGGUUCAACACCCACUGAACAGGGUCGACCAAGAACAGUGAAGAGAGGAGUUGAGAACAUCUCUGUUGACAUUCAUUGUGGAGAGCCUUUGCAAAUAGAUCACUUGGUUUUUGUAGUCCAUGGGAUUGGACCAGCUUGUGAUCUCCGCUUUCGAAGCAUUGUACAGUGUGUUAAUGAUUUUCGCAGUGUUUCCUUGAACCUGCUACAAACACAUUUUAAGAAAGCCCAAGAAAAUCAGCAGAUUGGGAGGGUAGAAUUUCUUCCAGUCAACUGGCACAGUCCUUUGCAUUCUACUGGUGUGGAUGUAGAUCUGCAGCGAAUAACUCUGCCCAGCAUUAACCGCCUAAGGCAUUUCACCAAUGACACAAUUCUAGACGUCUUCUUCUACAAUAGCCCCACCUAUUGUCAGACUAUUGUGGACACAGUUGCUUCGGAAAUGAACCGAAUAUAUACACUUUUUCUGCAGAGGAACCCUGAUUUCAAAGGGGGUGUAUCCAUUGCUGGUCAUAGUUUAGGUUCGCUUAUAUUGUUUGAUAUCCUAACAAAUCAGAAAGAUUCUUUGGGGGAUAUGGAUAAUGAAAAGGAUGCACCAAAUAUUGUCAUGGAUCAGGGAGACACACUGACACUAGAGGAAGAUUUGAAGAAACUGCAACUCUCGGAAUUCUUUAGUGUCUUUGAGAAGGAGAAAGUAGAUAAGGAAGCUCUGGCUUUAUGUACUGACAAAGAUCUUCAGGAAAUGGGAAUUCCCCUAGGACCAAGAAAGAAGAUAUUAAACCACUUUAGGACCAGAAAAAAUUUAAUGGAUAUUAAUAGACCAACCCUGCAGCCAGCUUCAGGCGUGACUGUAUCUAACAUCCCCAAAGAAUCAGGUGUCUGCAGUAAAACUGAUGCUACUGGGAAUGGUGACUAUCUACAUGUUGGCAUUGGGCAGGUGUCUGUAAAAUAUCCCCGGCUCAUCUACAAACCAGAAAUAUUCUUUGCCUUCGGAUCUCCUAUUGGAAUGUUCCUUACUGUCCGAGGACUAAAAAGAAUUGAUCCCAACUAUAAAUUUCCGACGUGCAAAGGCUUCUUCAAUAUCUAUCACCCUUUUGAUCCUGUGGCCUAUAGGAUUGAACCGAUGGUGGUCCCAGGAGUGGAAUUUGAGCCAAUGUUGAUCCCACAUCAUAAAGGCAGGAAGCGGAUGCACUUAGAAUUGAGAGAGGGCUUGACCAGGAUGAGUAUGGACCUUAAGAACAACUUGCUAGGUUCGUUGCGGAUGGCAUGGAAGUCUUUCACUAGAGCUCCAUACCCUGCCUUACAAGCUUCAGAAACUACAGAAGAAACUGAAGCAGAAUGUGAAUCAAGUCCAGAGAAACUGAGUGAUGUUAACACAGAAGAGACCUCUGUGGCAGUUAAAGAAGAAGUCCCACCCAUCAAUGUGGGAAUGCUAAAUGGAGGCCAGCGCAUUGACUAUGUGCUACAAGAGAAGCCCAUUGAAAGUUUUAAUGAAUAUUUAUUUGCUUUACAAAGCCAUCUAUGCUACUGGUGUCUUUAUGAACUGGAUGUAAGUAAUUGCCUAAGCACACACAGAAUAAUAUCUGGAAGAUGCACGAGAAGUUGAUAACCACUAGUUCCCAUCCUCUGACAAUCAAUGUUAAGAAACAGAGGGAGUCUGAAGAUACAGUAUUGUUGGUCCUCAAAGAAAUCUACCAAACCCAGGGCAUCUUCCUUGAUCAGCCUUUACAAUAAAAAUGAACCAUGUAUGGCUGCUUAAUACGGACACUGCAGGAUCCUCCCCCAGAAAAGCCACCUGCUUGUUGCUGCAGUUUCCCUCUCCUCAGCUGCGUCAUUUCCUGCAUGUUGCCUGCCACUUACUUACUACUGGGAUCUUUGGAGGACUUGUUAUCUUGGAAGUGAGUGGAAGAACAAAGGGAAGACCACUGGCUUCAUAGAAGCAUUUGCCACUCUUCAUAGCAGGGGUUAUUUGCAGCUCUAAUACUUGGAUGAUAGAUGCCACCCUUCAUUGCUUAUUAUUUGAGAUAGUAUAAAGUCUGUUUUGAGUUUAUUUUGGUUUGAGUAGAAAUUUUUUCUAGGAAAUUAUUGUUUCUCUUUAGAAAAUGUUCUAGUUUGGAAGCAGGCUCUGGAGAUUAAAUCUUAGUAUAUGUGCUGCUGAAGCGAGCACGGCUCCGGUGAUUCAGAAGGCAUUUUGGGUACACUCAUCUCUCAUUGGUAUUCUCUGUAUUUGAAGGCUAAGUAGUUAAAGGAAAAGACUUCUAGGCAACUUCUUUUGAGCCGGCAUUUCUUUCCUACAAGUACUGUGUGAAGGACUAAAAUGUAGCUUACAGAGUAUUGUUUACUCUCUAUAGCUGACUGACCUUUGAUUGCAAGGAAUCACUGAUGCUGUUUAUUGUUUUCACAGCUGUUUGAGCUGCUCUCAGAGUCUGCAGCAGAUAGUUUAGUUCCCAUUAGGUGCAUUUUAUAAAGCAAAGAUGUUAUAUAUCCUAGACCUGUCCUUUUAUACCAUAUUUCAAAUGGGGAGACUCUGAAAUCUUAGUUAUUUGAUAGUAACUUCUCUUUUUGAGGGCAAAGUUAUAAAGGCUGGCAAACCUGAAAUCACGCAGCCUUAACAGGCUCUCUGGUUAUGAAUAAAAUCUCUCAGUAGUACAUUUAAGGUGAACUAGAAUUUGUGCGAGUCAACCAUUGUAUCCACUUGGGUGAGGGCAGUGUUGUGUGUCCUCUUUGAAAACCCUUUAUAAACACCAUUGCUUGCUUAGGUACCCAUGAUCCAGGAGCUUAUUUAAAAGCCUCAUGGCACAGGCAUUGUUGGCUGGGCAGGAGGCUUUGGCUAAGGGAAAUGUUUCUUAUUCUGAAAGAAAAACUUAUGCCUGUAGGAGUCAAGGAACAGCCUGUGCAGAGUAUACAUCAGAACAUUCAAAGUGAAGUGUACCUUGAAUAGUGACCAAUUUUUUUUUUUUCCCGAGGGCAUCUGCUCACCACAGGGCUAUAUUUCCUAUCUCAUUGGUUAUUUGUCAUUGUUUUUGCACUUUUCUUUGUGAUAGUCCUUUACCCUCCUCUCCAACUUCCAUAGGCCUCUCUGUUUUAUAGCGUGGUACAGGCAGGUAAGCUGCGUUUCUUUAUAAACAAUGUUUUUUUGUAAAUAUAUCAUGGUGUCUAGUGUAUUGGUAUAUAACAUUCACUUAAGCCAUCCCUUCAACAGCAGUGGUCUCCAUCCCUUUAAUCACCGUCACCUUGGAGAUGACAGAGGUGAGGCUGGGUGCAAGAUCCGUGGCUGGCCUUUACUUGUCCAUCUGCUUAUAGACUAAUGCUGAGCCACUAAGAAGUGUCAGGUAUAUGGAAUACUUUUCUUUACCAUAUGAACUGAAUUUGAAGUAAGGAUUACUGAGAAUUAAGUAGUGUUCAAUUAUAUUUUAAAGGGGAAGCUUUUGUCAACUUGUCAAUUUACAUUUAUUCUUCAUAUUAGCAGAAUAGAUAGUAUUUAAGAGUAAACCAAAGGAAAAGCAAGAAUGAGUCCCUGUAACCAAAGAUGAACAGCUCAACAGCAUAACUGUGGAUAGCUAGAUAAACCACUGUGUUGGUACUAAGAAAUGUUUUUUGGUGAGGGGCAGGCAACUGUAAAAGAGCUUUUAUCUUGUCUCUCUACCUGUGGUAUCAUCAUGGUUGUAUAUUACACAGAAUAAUAAGCUUGAUUUAAAUUCUUUAUUUAGUUGUAUAUUGUUUGCACUACUUCAGUUGUAUUACAUGCAAUCUCUUGACCAAGCCUAAUUUUAAACUCAAUAGAGUAUCAUUUUAUACAUAUUUCCUGCUACGGAAUUUGUAUUGCUUAUCUCAACAAGAGAUUGUCUGCAUGGAAAGGUUAAUAGCACUGAUUAGCUUUCUAAUAUUUUGCACUUUUUGAAAUGUUUGUUUUUUACAUGAUUAUAUUUAAAAGUUUAUGAAAUACUGAAAUAAAACCUUAUUGACCAGUUGCCUUUUA